Molecule: ribosomal RNA, 259 nt
Filed under: uncultured actinomycete
Lineage: Bacteria; Bacillati; Actinomycetota; Actinomycetes; Actinomycetales
Description: partial 16S ribosomal RNA
Rfam family: Bacterial small subunit ribosomal RNA
Source: RNAcentral
UGGGGCUCAACCCCAGACCUGCACUCGAUACGGGCUAGCUAGAGUUUGGUAGGGGAGACUGGAAUUCCUGGUGUAGCGGUGGAAUGCGCAGAUAUCAGGAGGAACACCAAUGGCGAAGGCAGGUCUCUGGGCCAAUACUGACACUGAGGAGCGAAAACNGGGAGCAACAGGAUUAGAUACCCUGGUAGUCCNCNCCGUAAACGGUNNNCCCUAGUUGUGGGGACCUUCCACNGUCUCUGCGACNNNGCUAACNCAUUAA